Long non-coding RNA from Eptesicus fuscus (big brown bat), 1883 nucleotides. RefSeq lists it as uncharacterized. The record is from RefSeq and is a predicted model, not a curated record. NCBI's taxonomy places the organism in Eukaryota, Metazoa, Chordata, Mammalia, Chiroptera, Vespertilionidae. The transcript has 3 exons.
CCCAAGGCCAUAGAGCUUCCUCAGGCAAAUUAAUCAGGUGACUGUUUAAACUCUGGUAAAUAUCUAGUAGGAGUCAAAAACUCAGACUGUUUGGUAUAUAAAUAUAAAUGUGAAAAUAUUUGUUAUCUCUUUCUGCUGUUUAAUUUAUUUAAAGAUAGGGCGGACCUGCUAUGGCGGAAUAUAAAGGUCUUUAGCAGCUGCUGAGACACCUUUUCUUAAGAGUCCUUUGUUCUCCGUCAGAGAGGGAAUAAGCCCACUUAGAUGAUAAAAAUUCCUCUGUUUGUAUAAAUGAAGGUUUCAGUUUGCUCUGAUUUGUGAAUUUACUGUAUUAAAUUGAAUUUUAAAGUUCUAAGGUUGAUUUAAAAGUAUCCAUUUAUAACAUUUCAAAGAACAAAAGAACUUUUAUUUACAGCUUCCUUAUCUCUUUUGGUGCUGGGAGACUCCCCUUACAGCUUCACAGGGCGGAGAGAUGUACAGGCCCUGCCCCGGCCUGUGACAUCAUAGUCCAACGUGGAACUAAGGCUGAAGUUACUAUUAACUCUUUAUAGACCCCGUUAACCGUUUGUUUAACUUACUGUUUUCAGUUAUUAGGAUCCUCAGAGAGGACAUAACCUGGACUUUCCCUUCCUCUCUCAUCCUGAUUCUAAUAGCAUCUGUAACUGGAUUAAAAAUCUUUUCUUUCAGGAGGCCAUCCAGGCUUUCAGCUCACAAGAAAUCUUCUCCUGCGAGAGGAGAGAGGGACCCCCCAGAAGGGGCUGGAGGCUCUCCCUCUCAACAGUUUAACCUUUGACUGUGUGAUUGAAUUACGGAGCUUUUAUCAAGGUUUUGCCUCUCCUGAAACAACGCUCCAUGUGUAACCUGUCCCUCCCCGAGCCGGACUGCAGGAUGAUUUUUCCUUCAACACACUGGUCCCGCCCACUGGCCUAUGGCAGAAGCCAGAAAAAGCGACGAUAAGAAAGGGAGGCCCCCAUCAGGGGACUUAGAGGCAGUGUUUCUGUUAUCUGCUUAGAUCCCAAGAAUGGUCAGGAAGAAACUGAAAGCUGGAAUUCAUAACCAUUCCCUUACUCAAGUCCUUACAGGCUCUGCAGUAUACCCAGAGAGCCACCCAUAAGCUUGUUCGUGAUGCUCUGCCAGUGCCCACUGCGGACCCUGUACAUCCCUUCCAGCCCAAGAACUCGGUAUGGGUAAAGAAGGUCACUGCCCAAGGACUCACCCCAACCUGGGAGGGAUGCUACACUGUUAUCCUGAGCACGCCCACGGCUGUUGAAGUAGAUGGCGUCCAGACCUGGCUACACCACUCCCAGCUCCUGCACCAGGAAACGGCCUGGAUCCUGGCAACCAGCGGCCUCACCCGUGAGAUCCCUAGCCUGGGCUCCACGCAGGCCAGGAGGAAUCUCGACACCUGCAGGAGAGGAACUGGAAUUCGCUGUGGACAGUACUGUUGGGGACUGUAGUACUAAAGGCCUUGGCCAGAAGUAAGAGACAAAGUAGAAAUGCAAACCGUCUCAUGAUUGAGCCGGGUGUCCCAAGACAAGGGGGGAAUGAAAGGGCAGAGCAGGACAGCACAAAAUGUACUGUACCCUCCAUCCUGUGUAACUAUGUAUCAGACUCCUUUUUCUUAGAAAACCGCGAGAAUGUAACAAUUGCAUGAACCUGCCAAUAGGAAUGUAGAGAAGUAGAUUCAGUCCAAAUUAGGCAAUCUCUGUAACCCACGUCACUUCCCUAAGCCCACCCAAAUGUCCAACCCUUUAUAAUUCAUCACUCCCCCGGAGUUCGCUCUCUGGCCCCACUGCUGCGUCAGGAGGAGGCUGGGAGCCAAACCCGGGUUUGAAUAAAGACUCUUUGCUUUUGCAUCGGAGAAAAGGCUCCCUAGUGGUUGAUUA